Molecule: ribosomal RNA, 30 nt
Filed under: Capsicum annuum
Lineage: Eukaryota; Viridiplantae; Streptophyta; Magnoliopsida; Solanales; Solanaceae
Description: partial 18S ribosomal RNA
Source: RNAcentral
UUUUGGAAGGUAAAAGUCGUAACAAGGUUU